AAAAAAAACUUGAGAAAAAAAGGAAUAGGAAGCACACAAAGAAAAGGCUAAAAAAGUUUUUUUUUUUUUUUUUUUUUUUUUUAUU
Molecule: non-coding RNA, 85 nt
Filed under: Prorocentrum micans
Lineage: Eukaryota; Dinophyceae; Prorocentrales; Prorocentraceae
Source: RNAcentral